AUUCCAUGAUAAGGGCAUAUUUGUAACAGUUCUUUAAAUCUUUUCCACACCUCAUACAAGGACUCGUCAUCCAUCUGUUGGAAGGUAGUUAUCUUGUUUAGCAACU
This is a non-coding RNA of Gossypium hirsutum (cotton), 106 nucleotides long. The record is from Rfam. NCBI's taxonomy places the organism in Eukaryota, Viridiplantae, Streptophyta, Magnoliopsida, Malvales, Malvaceae.